Molecule: ribosomal RNA, 500 nt
Filed under: uncultured bacterium
Lineage: Bacteria
Description: bacterial SSU rRNA
Rfam family: Bacterial small subunit ribosomal RNA
Source: RNAcentral
AGAGUUGAUCAUGGCUCAGGAUGAACGCUGGCGGCGUGCCUAACACAUGCAAGUCGAGCGGAGAUAGGUUGAAGCCUAGCGAUUCCUAUCUUAGCGGCGGAUGGGUGAGUAACACGUGGGUAACCUGCCCUGUACUGGGGGGAUAACAGCUGGAAACGGCUGUUAAUACCGCAUAUGCGCACGGAGCCGCAUGGCCCUGGGCGGAAAGAUUCAUCGGUACAGGAUGGGCCCGCGCCGGAUUAACUUGUUGGCGGGGUAACGGCCCACCAAGGUGAUGAUCCGUAGCCGACCUGAGAGGGUGACCGGCCACAUUGGGACUGAGACACGGCCCAAACUCCUACGGGAGGCAGCAGUGGGGGAUAUUGCACAAUGGGGGAAACCCUUGAUGCAGCGACGCCGCGUGAAGGAAGAAGUAUUUCGGUAUGUAAACUUCUAUCAGCGGGGAAGAAGAUGACGGUACCCGCACAAGAAGCCCCGGCUAACUACGUGCCAGCCGCCGC